AUUUUGCGUGAGGGAUGGUAGCGGCAUCCUUUUUUGCCGAGGCACGAAGGCAAAAAAGAUAAAGCGGACAGCCCGACGGCGG
This 82-nucleotide small RNA is filed under the name Flavobacterium caeni. RNAcentral's name for it is "Flavo-1 RNA". It matches the Rfam family "Flavo-1 RNA". Lineage: Bacteria; Pseudomonadati; Bacteroidota; Flavobacteriia; Flavobacteriales; Flavobacteriaceae. The record is from Rfam by way of RNAcentral.